Molecule: long non-coding RNA, 897 nt
Filed under: Equus caballus (horse)
Lineage: Eukaryota; Metazoa; Chordata; Mammalia; Perissodactyla; Equidae
Description: lncRNA (ENSECAG00000029230.2)
Source: RNAcentral
CCAGGAAGUUGUGGGGGCAGCAGCAGACGUGCGAGGUGAUUAAUAACAACAUAGAUAACUUCUGCUGAGGAAUUUCACAAGCUGAGCUUUAACAGGCAUUAACUCACUUAAUCCUCGCACCAAGUCUCAGAGAUUACAAAUUCAAAUGCCUAACUGGUCCAGGAAAACAACUGGAAAUGAGGGGAGAGAGCUGAGUGGAGAAUGUCAUGCACUGGUGGGCUUGUAUCUAUCCAAGAACAGAAGCCUUCCUGAGCUCUAGCUGACUGAUGCCAGAAAGAAGCUUCACUGAUGCAUUACAUUCGUUGCUAUGCAAUGUCAAGGAAUACUAUCAUUAUGAUUAGUACCAUCUGCAACAAAUGAGAGGAAGCAACACACAACAGAGCUGAAGAUUCAGAGCCUCUCUCCCAGCUGACUUGGGUGUGUACUAGUACACUGCCUCUAGAUUUUUACAACCGCAUGCAUACAAUCCACAGGGCAAACCACUUCAAUAGAACAUGGCUGGCAGCCAUAUGGUCACAUAUGAAUCCAACAGUUAAUUUAGCAAAGAAAACUGCUUGUAACAAGUUUUGAAUAUGUUAUCCCAGGUAGUACUUUGUUGACAAAUGAGAUGAUUGCCCAGAAAAUGAUAGUAACAUUUGUAAAAAGGGUUUGGAACCAAUUGAGAGAUGCAGCCAAGAAUCAAGCACUUGAAGAUCAAAGUGAUGGCUUUGUAACUGACAAAGCCUGGGUUGGAGAACACAGCUUAGAUAAAGCACAGAAGAUUCAAGCUGCCUCCGGUCUUAAGAAGUUAACAUGGAAUUUGGCUGUUUCAAAAAUUAAAAUCUGCUUACAAAAAUUAGUCUCCACUGGUGGAAAUAUCUUUCUUUUCAGUAUGAGAAGUUGUUUGAAGCUUUUGUC